AGUUUGAUCCUGGCUCAGAUUGAACGCUGGCGGCAUGCCUUACACAUGCAAGUCGAACGGCAGCACGGGUGCUUGCACCUGGUGGCGAGUGGCGAACGGGUGAGUAAUGCAUCGGAACGUACCCUGGAGUGGGGGAUAACUAUCCGAAAGGAUAGCUAAUACCGCAUAUUCUAUGAGUAGGAAAGCGGGGGAUCUUCGGACCUCGCGCUCUGGGAGCGGCCGAUGUCAGAUUAGCUAGUUGGUGGGGUAAAGGCCUACCAAGGCUACGAUCUGUAGCGGGUCUGAGAGGAUGAUCCGCCACACUGGGACUGAGACACGGCCCAGACUCCUACGGGAGGCAGCAGUGGGGAAUUUUGGACAAUGGGGGCAACCCUGAUCCAGCCAUGCCGCGUGAGUGAAGAAGGCCUUCGGGUUGUAAAGCUCUUUCGGCCGGGAAGAAAUCGCCAUCUCUAAUAUAGGUGGCGGAUGACGGUACCGGAAUAAGAAGCACCGGCUAACUACGUGCCAGCAGCCGCGGUAAUACGUAGGGUGCGAGCGUUAAUCGGAAUUACUGGGCGUAAAGCGUGCGCAGGCGGUUUUUUAAGAUAGGCGUGAAAUCCCCGGGCUUAACCUGNGAACUGCGCUUAUGACUGGAAGACUAGAGUACGGCAGGG
Molecule: ribosomal RNA, 653 nt
Filed under: uncultured bacterium
Lineage: Bacteria
Description: bacterial SSU rRNA
Rfam family: Bacterial small subunit ribosomal RNA
Source: RNAcentral